RNAcentral lists this ribosomal RNA (360 nucleotides) under Triticum aestivum (bread wheat). RNAcentral describes it as "partial small subunit ribosomal RNA". The record is from RNAcentral. Lineage: Eukaryota; Viridiplantae; Streptophyta; Magnoliopsida; Poales; Poaceae.
AUGUGCCCGUUAUGCGAGCAGGAGGCCGAGACUGCAGACCACGUGGCACUGGGUUGUGUGUUUGCCAGGGAGGUGUGGCACUCUGCCCUCUGGCGUUAUGGCCUCGGUCAGUUGGUGCCCGCCAUGGAUGCAACUCUCACGGAGUGGUGGGCAGCCAAUCGCGCGAUGAUCCCGAAGGAGAGGAGGAAGGGUUUUGAUUCUCUUUCCCUCCUCAUCAUCUGGAUGCUAUGGAUGGAGCGUAACGGUCGCGUCUUCCAGCGGUCAACGGUCGUUGCUCGAGAGCUUUGUCGUUGCAUCAGUAAUGAGGUUGAGCUAUGGAAGCUUUCUGGUGCGAGGGGGUUGUCGGACAUCUGGAGAUAG